GUAGUCCACGCCCUAAACGAUGUCUACUAGUUGUCGGGUCUUAAUUGACUUGGUAACGCAGCUAACGCGUGAAGUAGACCGCCUGGGGAGUACGGUCGCAAGAUUAAAACUCAAAGGAAUUGACGGGGACCCGCACAAGCGGUGGAUGAUGUGGAUUAAUUCGAUGCAACGCGAAAAACCUUACCUACCCUUGACAUGGAUGGAAUCCCGGAGAGAUUUGGGAGUGCUCGAAAGAGAACCAUCACACAGGUGCUGCAUGGCUGUCGUCAGCUCGUGUCGUGAGAUGUUGGGUUAAGUCCCGCAACGAGCGCAACCCUUGUCAUUAGUUGCUACGAAAGGGCACUCUAAUGAGACUGCCGGUGACAAACCGGAGGAAGGUGGGGAUGACGUCAAGUCCUCAUGGCCCUUAUGGGUAGGGCUUCACACGUCAUACAAUGGUACAUACAGAGCGCCGCCAACCCGCGAGGGGGAGCUAAUCGCAGAAAGUGUAUCGUAGUCCGGAUUGUAGUCUGCAACUCGACUGCAUGAAGUUGGAAUCGCUAGUAAUCGCGAAUCAGCAUUGUCGCGGUGAAUACGUUCCCGGGCCUUGUACACACCGCCCGUCACACCAUGGGAGUUGGCUGCACCAGAAGUAGGUAGCUUAACCUCGCAAGAGGAGGGCGCUUACCACGGUGUGGUCAAUGACUGGGGUG
RNAcentral lists this ribosomal RNA (692 nucleotides) under uncultured bacterium. Its description in RNAcentral is "bacterial SSU rRNA". It matches the Rfam family "Bacterial small subunit ribosomal RNA", at positions 790 to 1482 of the family's 1533-position model. The record is from RNAcentral.